GGUCUUUUGUUUAUUAUAUAAGAUCGGACCUGCCCAUUGAUUAUAAAUAUUAAAAGGCUGCGGUAUUUUAACUGUACGAAGGUAGCAUAAUCAUUUGUCUUUUAAUUGAAGGCUAGUAUGAAUGGUUUGAUGAAAUAUAAACUUUCUUUAAAUAAUUAUUUUGAAUUUAAUUUUUUAGUUAAAAAGCUAAAAUUUUUUUAUAGGACGAGAAGACCCUAUAGAGGUUGACUCUUUAUAUAAGUUUAUUUUUUUUGUUUAUAAAAUAUUUUCUUAGAAUAAAUUGUUAUGUUGGGGUGACAUUGAAAUUUUUUUAACUUUCAUUAUUUUUUUCAUUAAUUUAUGUAUUUUUGAUCCAGAAUUUUUGAUUAUAAGAUUAACCUACCUUAGGGAUAACAGCGUAAUUUUUUCGGAGAGUUCAUAUCGAUGAAUAAGUUUGCGA
This 439-nucleotide ribosomal RNA is filed under the name Esakia sp. 1018. Its description in RNAcentral is "partial large subunit ribosomal RNA". Lineage: Eukaryota; Metazoa; Arthropoda; Insecta; Hemiptera; Gerridae. The record is from RNAcentral.